RNAcentral lists this ribosomal RNA (253 nucleotides) under uncultured bacterium. RNAcentral's name for it is "partial 16S ribosomal RNA". It matches the Rfam family "Bacterial small subunit ribosomal RNA", at positions 524 to 776 of the family's 1533-position model. The record is from RNAcentral.
UACGUAGGGUGCAAGCGUUAUCCGGAAUUAUUGGGCGUAAAGAGCUCGUAGGUGGCCUGUCGCGUCGGCUGUGAAAACUCGGGGCUCAACUCCGAGCUUGCAGUCGAUACGGGCAGGCUAGAGUUCGGCAGGGGAGACUGGAAUUCCUGGUGUAGCGGUGAAAUGCGCAGAUAUCAGGAGGAACACCGAUGGCGAAGGCAGGUCACUGGGCCGCAACUGACGCUGAGGAGCGAAAGCAUGGGGAGCGAACAGG